CAGCAGCCACGGUAAUACGUAGGUGGCAAGCGUUGUCCGGAAUUAUUGGGCGUAAAGGGCUCGCAGGCGGUUUCUUAAGUCUGAUGUGAAAGCCCCCGGCUCAACCGGGGAGGGUCAUUGGAAACUGGAAACUUGAGUGCAGAAGAGGAGAGUGGAAUUCCACGUGUAGCGGUGAAAUGCGUAGAGAUGUGGAGGAACACCAGUGGCGAAGGCGACUCUCUGGUCUGUAACUGACGCUGAGGAGCGAAAGCGUGGGGAGCGAACAGGAUUAGAUACCCGGGUAGUCCCUGUCUCUUAUACA
RNAcentral lists this ribosomal RNA (301 nucleotides) under uncultured bacterium. RNAcentral's name for it is "partial 16S ribosomal RNA". It matches the Rfam family "Bacterial small subunit ribosomal RNA", at positions 509 to 808 of the family's 1533-position model. The record is from RNAcentral.